GAUUAAGUUAUUAAGGGCGCACGGUGGAUGCCUUGGCACUAGAAGCCGAUGAAGGACGUUACUAACGACGAUAUGCUUUGGGGAGCUGUAAGUAAGCUUUGAUCCAGAGAUUUCCGAAUGGGGAAACCCAGCAUGAGUUAUGUCAUGUUAUCGAUAUGUGAAUACAUAGCAUAUCAGAAGGCACACCCGGAGAACUGAAACAUCUUAGUACCCGGAGGAAGAGAAAGAAAAUUCGAUUCCCUUAGUAGCGGCGAGCGAAACGGGAAGAGCCCAAACCAGCAAGCUUGCUUGUUGGGGUUGUAGGACACUCUAUACGGAGUUACAAAGGACGACAUUAGACGAAUCAUCUGGAAAGAUGAAUCAAAGAAGGUAAUAAUCCUGUAGUCGAAAAUGUUGUCUCUCUUGAGUGGAUCCUGAGUACGACGGAGCACGUGAAAUUCCGUCGGAAUCUGGGAGGACCAUCUCCUAAGGCUAAAUACUCUCUAGUGACCGAUAGUGAACCAGUACCGUGAGGGAAAGGUGAAAAGCACCCCGGAAGGGGAGUGAAAUAGAACCUGAAACCGUGUGCUUACAAGUAGUCAGAGCCCGUUAAUGGGUGAUGGCGUGCCUUUUGUAGAAUGAACCGGCGAGUUACGAUUUGAUGCAAGGUUAAGCAGUAAAUGUGGAGCCGUAGCGAAAGCGAGUCUGAAUAGGGCGUUUAGUAUUUGGUCGUAGACCCGAAACCAGGUGAUCUACCCUUGGUCAGGUUGAAGUUCAGGUAACACUGAAUGGAGGACCGAACCGACUUACGUUGAAAAGUGAGCGGAUGAACUGAGGGUAGCGGAGAAAUUCCAAUCGAACCUGGAGAUAGCUGGUUCUCUCCGAAAUAGCUUUAGGGCUAGCCUCAAGUGAUGAUUAUUGGAGGUAGAGCACUGUUUGGACGAGGGGCCCCUCUCGGGUUACCGAAUUCAGACAAACUCCGAAUGCCAAUUAAUUUAACUUGGGAGUCAGAACAUGGGUGAUAAGGUCCGUGUUCGAAAGGGAAACAGCCCAGACCACCAGCUAAGGUCCCAAAAUAUAUGUUAAGUGGAAAAGGAUGUGGCGUUGCCCAGACAACUAGGAUGUUGGCUUAGAAGCAGCCAUCAUUUAAAGAGUGCGUAAUAGCUCACUAGUCGAGUGACACUGCGCCGAAAAUGUACCGGGGCUAAACAUAUUACCGAAGCUGUGGAUUGUCCUUUGGACAAUGGUAGGAGAGCGUUCUAAGGGUGUUGAAGCAUGAUCGUAAGGACAUGUGGAGCGCUUAGAAGUGAGAAUGCCGGUGUGAGUAGCGAAAGACGGGUGAGAAUCCCGUCCACCGAUUGACUAAGGUUUCCAGAGGAAGGCUCGUCCGCUCUGGGUUAGUCGGGUCCUAAGCUGAGGCCGACAGGCGUAGGCGAUGGAUAACAGGUUGAUAUUCCUGUACCACCUAUAAUCGUUUUAAUCGAUGGGGGGACGCAGUAGGAUAGGCGAAGCGUGCGAUUGGAUUGCACGUCUAAGCAGUAAGGCUGAGUAUUAGGCAAAUCCGGUACUCGUUAAGGCUGAGCUGUGAUGGGGAGAAGACAUUGUGUCUUCGAGUCGUUGAUUUCACACUGCCGAGAAAAGCCUCUAGAUAGAAAAUAGGUGCCCGUACCGCAAACCGACACAGGUAGUCAAGAUGAGAAUUCUAAGGUGAGCGAGCGAACUCUCGUUAAGGAACUCGGCAAAAUGACCCCGUAACUUCGGGAGAAGGGGUGCUCUUUAGGGUUAACGCCCAGAAGAGCCGCAGUGAAUAGGCCCAAGCGACUGUUUAUCAAAAACACAGGUCUCUGCUAAACCGUAAGGUGAUGUAUAGGGGCUGACGCCUGCCCGGUGCUGGAAGGUUAAGAGGAGUGGUUAGCUUCUGCGAAGCUACGAAUCGAAGCCCCAGUAAACGGCGGCCGUAACUAUAACGGUCCUAAGGUAGCGAAAUUCCUUGUCGGGUAAGUUCCGACCCGCACGAAAGGCGUAACGAUUUGGGCACUGUCUCAACGAGAGACUCGGUGAAAUCAUAGUACCUGUGAAGAUGCAGGUUACCCGCGACAGGACGGAAAGACCCCGUGGAGCUUUACUGUAGCCUGAUAUUGAAAUUCGGCACAGCUUGUACAGGAUAGGUAGGAGCCUUUGAAACGUGAGCGCUAGCUUACGUGGAGGCGCUGGUGGGAUACUACCCUAGCUGUGUUGGCUUUCUAACCCGCACCACUUAUCGUGGUGGGAGACAGUGUCAGGCGGGCAGUUUGACUGGGGCGGUCGCCUCCUAAAAGGUAACGGAGGCGCUCAAAGGUUCCCUCAGAAUGGUUGGAAAUCAUUCAUAGAGUGUAAAGGCAUAAGGGAGCUUGACUGCGAGACCUACAAGUCGAGCAGGGUCGAAAGACGGACUUAGUGAUCCGGUGGUUCCGCAUGGAAGGGCCAUCGCUCAACGGAUAAAAGCUACCCCGGGGAUAACAGGCUUAUCUCCCCCAAGAGUUCACAUCGACGGGGAGGUUUGGCACCUCGAUGUCGGCUCAUCGCAUCCUGGGGCUGUAGUCGGUCCCAAGGGUUGGGCUGUUCGCCCAUUAAAGCGGUACGCGAGCUGGGUUCAGAACGUCGUGAGACAGUUCGGUCCCUAUCCGUCGUGGGCGUAGGAAAUUUGAGAGGAGCUGUCCUUAGUACGAGAGGACCGGGAUGGACAUACCUCUGGUGUACCAGUUGUCGUGCCAACGGCAUAGCUGGGUAGCUAUGUGUGGACGGGAUAAGUGCUGAAAGCAUCUAAGCAUGAAGCCCCCCUCAAGAUGAGAUUUCCCAACUUCGGUUAUAAGAUCCCUCAAAGAUGAUGAGGUUAAUAGGUUCGAGGUGGAAGCAUGGUGACAUGUGGAGCUGACGAAUACUAAUCGAUCGAAGACUUAAUCAA
RNAcentral lists this ribosomal RNA (2923 nucleotides) under Staphylococcus aureus. RNAcentral's name for it is "23S ribosomal RNA". It matches the Rfam family "Bacterial large subunit ribosomal RNA". Lineage: Bacteria; Bacillati; Bacillota; Bacilli; Caryophanales; Staphylococcaceae. The record is from RNAcentral.